UUUGGACAAUGGGCGAAAGCCUGAUCCAGCAAUGCCGGGUGGGUGAAGAAGGCCUUCGGGGUUGUAAAGCACUUUUGUCCGGAAAGAAUUCCUUGGCUUUUAUACAGUCGGGGGAUGACGGUACCGGAAGAAUAAGCACCGGCUAACUACGUGCCAGCAGCCGCGGUAAAUACGUAGGGUGCAAGCGUUAAUCGGAAUUACUGGGCGUAAAGCGUGCGCAGGCGGUUUGCUAAGACCGAUGUGAAAUCCCCGGGCUCAACCCUGGAAACUGCAUUGGUGACUGGCAGGCUAGAGUAUGGCAGAGGGGGGUAGAAUUCCACGUGUAGCAGUGAAAUGCGUAGAGAUGUGGAGGAAUACCGAUGGCGAAGGCAGCCCCCUGGGCCAAUACUGACGCUCAUGCACGAAAGCGUGGGGAGCAAACAGGAUUAGAUACCCUGGUAGUCCACGCCCUAAACGAUGUCAACUAGUUGUUGGGGGAUUCAUUUUCCUUAGUAACGUAAGCUAACGCCGUGAAGUUGACCGCCCUGGGGGAGUACGGGUCGCCAAGAUUAAAAACUCAAA
RNAcentral lists this ribosomal RNA (561 nucleotides) under Burkholderia sp. RNAcentral's name for it is "bacterial SSU rRNA". It matches the Rfam family "Bacterial small subunit ribosomal RNA", at positions 363 to 905 of the family's 1533-position model. Lineage: Bacteria; Pseudomonadati; Pseudomonadota; Betaproteobacteria; Burkholderiales; Burkholderiaceae. The record is from RNAcentral.